AUUGAACGCUGGCGGCAUGCCUUACACAUGCAAGUCGAACGGGGGUAGCAAUACCCUAGUGGCGAACGGGUGAGUAAAGCAUCGGAACGUACCCAGUCGUGGGGGAUAACGUAGCGAAAGUUACGCUAAUACCGCAUACGUCCUGAGGGAGAAAGCGGGGGACCGUAAGGCCUCGCGCGAUUGGAGCGGCCGAUGUCGGAUUAGCUAGUUGGUGGGGUAAAAGCCUACCAAGGCGACGAUCCGUAGCUGGUCUGAGAGGAUGAUCAGCCACACUGGGACUGAGACACGGCCCAGACUCCUACGGGAGGCAGCAGUGGGGAAUUUUGGACAAUGGGGGAAACCCUGAUCCAGCCAUGCCGCGUGAGUGAAGAAGGCCUUCGGGUUGUAAAGCUCUUUCGGACGGAAAGAAAUCGCACAGGUAAAUAAUCUGUGUGGAUGACGGUACCGUAAGAAGAAGCACCGGCUAACUACGUGCCAGCAGCCGCGGUAA
This 490-nucleotide ribosomal RNA is filed under the name uncultured bacterium. RNAcentral describes it as "partial 16S ribosomal RNA". It matches the Rfam family "Bacterial small subunit ribosomal RNA", at positions 29 to 523 of the family's 1533-position model. The record is from RNAcentral.